This 337-nucleotide ribosomal RNA is filed under the name Pheidole fimbriata. RNAcentral describes it as "partial 12S ribosomal RNA". Lineage: Eukaryota; Metazoa; Arthropoda; Insecta; Hymenoptera; Formicidae. The record is from RNAcentral.
UUUUAAUAAAAGUUAAUUAAUGAGAAAUUAAAUGAAAUCAUUAAAUUUAAAUAAUUUGGCGGUAUUUUAAAUAGUUAGAGGAACUUGUUAAAUAAAUGAUAAUCCACGUUUGGAGGGUCCUUAUUUAGUUUUUAUAUAUUGUUGUAUAAAAAUUAUUUUAAGAGAAUAAUAAUUGAUAAAUUUAAUUUAAUUAAAAUUCAAAUCAAAAUGUAGGGUCGUAAGGUUUAAAUGAGUUACAAUUUAUUUAAAUAGAUUUAUUGUUUUUAAAUAACAUAAUAAAAGAGGAUUUAAUAGUAAAUUUAUAGAAAUUUAUAAGUUGAAAUAUAUUUAAAAUAUG